This 497-nucleotide ribosomal RNA is filed under the name uncultured bacterium. RNAcentral describes it as "partial 16S ribosomal RNA". It matches the Rfam family "Bacterial small subunit ribosomal RNA", at positions 28 to 507 of the family's 1533-position model. The record is from RNAcentral.
GAUGAACGCUGGCGGCGUGCCUAAUACAUGCAAGUCGAGCGAACGGACGAGAAGCUUGCUUCUCUGAUGUUAGCGGCGGACGGGUGAGUAACACGUGGAUAACCUACCUAUAAGACUGGGAUAACUUCGGGAAACCGGAGCUAAUACCGGAUGAUAUUUUGAACCGCAGGGUUCAAAAGUGAAAGACGGUCUUGCUGUCACUUAUAGAUGGAUCCGCGCUGCAUUAGCUAGUUGGUAAGGUAACGGCUUGCCAAGGCAACGAUGCAUAGCCGACCUGAGAGGGUGAUCGGCCACACUGGAACUGAGACACGGUCCAGACUCCUACGGGAGGCAGCAGUAGGGAAUCUUCCGCAAUGGGCGAAAGCCUGACGGAGCAACGCCGCGUGAGUGAUGAAGGUCUUCGGAUCGUAAAACUCUGUUAUUAGGGAAGAACAUAUGUGUAAGUAACUGUGCACAUCUUGACGGUACCUAAUCAGAAAGCCACGGCUAACUACGUG